RNAcentral lists this long non-coding RNA (3940 nucleotides) under Marmota monax (woodchuck). The record is from RNAcentral. Lineage: Eukaryota; Metazoa; Chordata; Mammalia; Rodentia; Sciuridae.
AUUUCUUUCUGCUGUAAUGUUAAUAGAUUUGGUUAUUGGAGUAUCUUGGUUUCAUUUUUAAUUUGUUCCCUUGCUUUUUCAUGUUGUUUGUGCGUCUACCCAUCAAAUAGUAUGGAUCUGAAGCAGUAGAGCUUCCACCCUGUGGACUGAUAGUGUCCUCACUUUUUAGGGGGAGACAAAUAAUAAUAACAACAACCAAUGCAAAAAAUAUAUAUAGCAUUAAACCAAGUAGUUUCUACUAUGAUAUCUAUAAUGUUAAUUAUCAAAAUAUACAGAAAUGAUAUCAUCAGUUAUUGCCUACUACAAAAACAGUAAGUUUGAAAAGUUUUAUAAUUUCAAAUGGUGGACAGGCAGAGAAAAGAAGUGAUAUAGGAUAUGAUGAUUAUGAGAGUGGAGGAGAGAAGAAGUAAAAAAUUAAAGUGAAAGAGAGAACAAUGGGUAUUGUUAAACAAACAACAAAACAAAACAAAACUAAUCCAUGAAAAAUAAGUGGCUUCAAAAAUGCUAGAAAUGAGAAAAAAUAUGAAUAUGUACAAAAAUAUGUACAUGUACAAAUCCCAUGUGCCAUUAAGGUCACAAUUAAACAGAGAAAAAGAAUUUUUAAAAAAUCUUGAUGAAAAGUUAAAGAAUUCUUUCCAUUGGAGUUCAAAAGAUCCUCAGCUUCUCUUCACAGCAGUUUUAGGUGGGGUUGUCUGGCACAUGAAGCUCCAUUUUCCAGAUGCCUCAGUGAGAAAAGUAACCCCAUAGGCAGAAUUCCUGGAGGCAGAGUUUGAGCUUAGGUGGACUCCAGGAUCUUUGCUGAAUACCAAUUGGUCUGGAGGUUUUAAAUCAGUACACCUCCAGCACCUAGUACUUGCUGGUCCAUGCUGGAAGACUGUACCACAGGGAUCUCCCCUGGAUUCCACUUGUGUGGUAGGGGACCCAAUUCUUAGUCCCUUUCAUCACCUUCAGACCCCACAUUUCCUGGUCUUGGGUUCAGUCUUCAAACAAUCUCUCCUGUCCCUGCCCUUCCAAGUUCCCCACCAGAUGCAUCUCUCCCAGCCAGUCCUGCAAGCAGUCAGAUUGAAGAGGGAGGAGUAGAGCCAGUAAGUUUUCAUGACCAUUGGGCAAUGUGUGUCACUAGGCCUGUAUUUCCGGCCAAACUGAGAUUUGCCAGGAAUCAGCCCCCUCAGCUGUGGCCCUGGUUCUGUGACUGAAAAUGGUUCCUUCCUUUGUCUUUUGUCCAAUAGAGGGAGAGAUGGUGGCUUCUUUCCCCCCACACAGAUAUUGUGCAGCAUGUAUUUCAGAUUUGCCAGGCAGUGUCCUUGAUCUCUAAACACUCUGUACCCAGACACACCUCAGACCUCCUCACAAUGUGGGCUCCUUCCAUUCCCUUAUCCUUCCACUAUGCUCAUGGAGGGAAGGCUCUGGCUGGUGCUUGUAGCCUGGCAGUGGUAGUAGCUGUGAGGCUGGGGAUUUCUUCCUUAUUUUAUUAUAUUCAACCUCCUGAGUCCCAAUCUGCUUUGAAUGUUCAGUUUUAAAUUCCAGUAAAAUUUCCCCACUUUUUUUUUUCUUUUUACCCACAGUACUAAAAAGCUGCUUUCUUGGUCAGUCUAUGGAACAGCCAGGAAAGUUACCUCCUCUAUUCCACCAUCUUGAAAAGUCUUUGAAGCCCCUCUUAUCUCACUGUCAUGAACAACAGAAUUUCCUAGGCACUCACUGGUGUUUGCCCCAACAAAAUUCUUAUUUUUUUCCUUAAUGUAUCACUAAGAAUUGGUUUUUUUUUUUUUUUGCUUGCAUUUGAAAGCAUAUCAUACUCUAAUAUUUUUUUAAGUCUAUCAAAUGCUAAUAAUCUAAACUCAACAAAGUAUAGAUUAUCACUGAAGCUUCUGAAAGUUUCUCUAGGAGGGCUGGGACUAGGGAUCAGUGGUAGAGCACUCGCCUAGCACAUGUGUGAGGCAUUGCGUUAGAUUCUCAGCACCACAUAAAAAUAAAUAAAUAAAAGUUUCUCUAAGAACUCUAAAAAAUGUUCAAAACAGUAUUCAUUAGCCAUAUGUCAUUAUAGAACAAUUGAAGUGUGGCCCAUCUAAAUUGAGAUAUAGCUCUUAAUGUAAAAUAUGCAUUUAUCUCAAAGACUUAAAGUGAAAAACUGCAUAUAGAAUAUCUCAUCAAUAAUUUUUAAUAACUUUUCUAAUUGAAAUUUUGCAUAUUUGAAGUUAAAUUAUAUAGGCUCUUGCCAUGGUGCCCAGAUGAAUAAUUUUAUUAAAGUUAAGUUUAUCUGUUUCUUUUUGCGUUUUUAAUGUGGCUACUGUACCAUUUUAAAUUAUGCAUGAGGCUCACACUAUUGCAGAGCACUGCAGAGCACUGCUCUAAGGCCAAGAACUCCCUUCCUGAAACUUAAUUUCUUUUUGUCUCUGUGUUUAUAAUGUUUUUUUGUUGCUUUUUCCCAUUGAACAAGGUACAUGGGCUAAGUUUCUGUCAGUGGGCUUCCUACUCACAGUUCUAAAUGUUUUUGACAACUCAAUUAAGAGAAGCUGAUUGGUUCCUUUUAGGUAGAAAGGCUCUGUCUUCACUUACCAAGGAUAUGUCUAGAGACUCAAUACCAGAACUUCAGUUUUGUAAGAAUUUCUCUGACAUAAGAAUAAAAUAAAUGUUUCAUUUUUUCCUUUGUUUCUCAGUUGCAAAUAAUUUUUUUAAAAUGGCUAACGUGCUGAAGGCUAAAAAAAAUGCUGUGUUGCUUUUAUGUAACUGUAUUAAAAUACCUGAGACAAUAAACUAAAAAAGGAAAGUUUGAAUCCAUGAUUUUGGAGAUUUCAGUCCAUGAUGGCUUGGUCCAGUUGCUUUGGGCCUACAAUAAGGCAGUACCUCAUGGUGGGAGCACAUGGCAAAAUUGUACACCUCAUGGUCUGGACUUAAAAAGGAAAGAGAAAAGGACUAAACUCCCAAUAUCCCCCUUUGAGAACACACACCAAAUGACCUAACUAAAUCCCUCUUUGCCUCGCCUCUUAAAGGUUCCACCACCUCCCAAUAGUGCCACAGGCCAGGACUAAGCCUUUAACACACAGGCCUUUGAAAGAGAUUUAAGAUCCAAACUAUAGCACAAGUCUUCCUUAGAAGGGAAGCUUUCAGAAGAAGCUAAUGAGUUUUCCAAGGUUGGGAGAUAAUAUUUCAUUUGCAGCAGGGGGGAUCUUAAGUAAACUAGAAUUCUUUUCAUUUAACUUUUUCCUAAUAUAGAAACAAAUUUUUAGUGCAUUCCAUUUUGCUUGGGAAAGUAAUAAUUGAUAUUUUCUCUGUUUCUUAAACAUUUUAUUUCCAAAUGCUACCCUGAUGAAAAAUUAAUGAUGGUGAUAAACACUGAAAGCUACGUAACUGCUUGUUGGUGGUGUACAUGAUCACCUCUGUGAAAAGAGCUCUGGGGAGGUUGGAGGUGUAGGUAGGACAGUGGUAGGACACCUGCUUAGCAUUCACAGGUCCUGGGUCCAAUCUCCAGAGCCAAAACAAUAAAAAUUAUAAAAUGAAAAACAAGAGCUCUGGGAAUUUAGGAAUUCAAUCUUUACCUAAAAUUCUUCUGUUAAUCACAAGGAGUUUUAAUCAUGGUGUCAAGUAUAUGAGGAUUCAGAAUAUUUAUACAGAUUGUAUAGUUUUAUAACACAAGGUCACAUCAUGUGAGCACUAGAGGGUUCUUUUCUCAUGCAUUUGAAGAAUGAAGUGUGCAGAUGACGGAAGGUGAGAAUUCAGCAGCAGAUUUGGUGGAAGCAAGCAAGGAAAGCUCCCACAUUCUGGGAGGACACCCUUGAUGACUGUCUUGUGGUUUUUUUUUUUUUUUUAAGAAAGAGAGAAAGAGAGAGAAUUUCAAUAUUUAUUUUUCAGUUUUUGGCAGACACAACAUCUUUGUUUGUAUGUGGUGCUGAGGAUCGAACCCAGGCCGCACGCAUGCCAGGCGAGCGCGCUACCACUUGAG